UGGGGAAUAUUGGACAAUGGGGGAAACCCUGAUCCAGCAAUGCCGCGUGAGUGAAGAAGGCCUUCGGGUUGUAAAGCUCUUUUGUUAGGGAAGAUGAUGACGGUACCUAACGAAUAAGCACCGGCUAACUUCGUGCCAGCAGCCGCGGUAAUACGAAGGGUGCUAGCGUUGUUCGGAAUGACUGGGCGUAAAGGGCGCGUAGGCGGCCAAGCACGUCAGAUGUGAAAUCCCUGGGCUUAACCUAGGAAUUGCAUUUGAUACGGCUUGGCUAGAGUUCAGCAGAGGGUGGUGGAAUUGCGAGUGUAGAGGUGAAAUUCGUAGAUAUUCGCAGGAACACCAGUGGCGAAGGCGGCCACCUGGGCUGUAACUGACGCUGAGGCGCGAAAGCGUGGGGAGCAAACAGGAUUAGAUACCCUGGUAGUCCAUGCCGUAAACGAUGAGUGCUAGAUGUUGGAGGCUUAGCCUUCAGUGUCGCCGCUAACGCAUUAAGCACUCCGCCUGAGGAGUACGGUCGCAAGAUUAA
RNAcentral lists this ribosomal RNA (523 nucleotides) under uncultured Alphaproteobacteria bacterium. RNAcentral describes it as "bacterial SSU rRNA". It matches the Rfam family "Bacterial small subunit ribosomal RNA", at positions 355 to 897 of the family's 1533-position model. The record is from RNAcentral. Lineage: Bacteria; Pseudomonadati; Pseudomonadota; Alphaproteobacteria.